UGUGGCAAGUGGGCAGCUUACCGAAAGGAGGAAGCUCUCCCCAUGCUAAGAUGAUCAAAAUAAGCUUAAGGCUUGAUUCGGAACAGAAACGGCACCUUGAAUCCUGAGAAUGCGAUGACACUACGAGCUUGGAGGAGGGGAUGAAACGGCCGAUGUGACCAUCGAUGUGCAUGCAAGGUUUUAAACCGCUUAGUCGAAUGCUGCCAAAAACAGAAGGGAGGCUACAACUUGCCACA
This 236-nucleotide RNase P RNA is filed under the name Candidatus Mancarchaeum acidiphilum. RNAcentral describes it as "Candidatus Micrarchaeota archaeon Mia14 Archaeal RNase P". It matches the Rfam family "Archaeal RNase P". From Rfam's summary of the family: Ribonuclease P (RNase P) is a ubiquitous endoribonuclease, found in archaea, bacteria and eukarya as well as chloroplasts and mitochondria. Its best characterised activity is the generation of mature 5'-ends of tRNAs by cleaving the 5'-leader elements of precursor-tRNAs. Lineage: Archaea; Nanobdellati; Microcaldota. The record is from Rfam by way of RNAcentral.